Molecule: long non-coding RNA, 546 nt
Organism: Psammomys obesus (fat sand rat)
Lineage: Eukaryota; Metazoa; Chordata; Mammalia; Rodentia; Muridae
Exons: 2
Source: RefSeq, a predicted model, not a curated record
GAUCAGCUCCGGCUUUCGGCGCGGCUCCUUGUCGUCCGGCAGGACGCGGAAGCGCAGCAGCGUCAGCGCCAGCGCCACCUUCAUCUCGCUCAUGGCGAAAGUCUGUCCUAUGCAGUUCCUGCGGGAGGACGGGGUCCUAGAGAUGAAGAGAGGAGCCUCACCUCAGGGUCCGGCCAGACUGAAGGAUUGUGAUGAACUCCGAAAAUGCUGACGACACAUGUGCUGCCUUUUGGGGAGGAGUGGACAGUAAGUGCCAGAUCCGCGCUACCACCAUCCUACCCAGGGGCCUCCUCCCAUCGUGUGUGGGCACCUUUGGGGAUGACUCGGCCAUCAGGCAGCACAAUGUCCUUAGUGCAGCGGCGGACCAGGUCUGUAGCAGGAGGAUGCAGCCGCAGACUCUCCUUGAUGCACAUGGUCAGGAAGGGCAGACGGGCCAGGUCGUCCCUAAGGAACACACCACACGAUUAUCCAGGAGCCAAACCCAUCACCUUCUUCAGUCUUUUGAAAAAUUGCACUCCAAAUGAAUUAAAGUCUCAAGCAAUGGAA